RNAcentral lists this ribosomal RNA (433 nucleotides) under uncultured bacterium. RNAcentral describes it as "partial 16S ribosomal RNA". It matches the Rfam family "Bacterial small subunit ribosomal RNA", at positions 29 to 507 of the family's 1533-position model. The record is from RNAcentral.
AACGAACGCUGGCGGCAGGCCUAACACAUCCAAGUCGAGCGCGCCCUUCGGGGUGAGCGGCGGACGGGUGAGUAACGCGUGGGAACGUGCCCUUCUCUGCGGAAUAGCCUCGGGAAACUGAGAGUAAUACCGCAUACGCCCUUUGGGGGAAAGAUUUAUCGGAGAAGGAUCGGCCCGCGUUGGAUUAGGUAGUUGGUGGGGUAAUGGCCCACCAAGCCGACGAUCCAUAGCUGGUUUGAGAGGAUGAUCAGCCACACUGGGACUGAGACACGGCCCAGACUCCUACGGGAGGCAGCAGUGGGGAAUCUUAGACAAUGGGGGCAACCCUGAUCUAGCCAUGCCGCGUGAGUGAUGAAGGCCUUAGGGUUGUAAAGCUCUUUCAGCUGGGAAGAUAAUGACGGUACCAGCAGAAGAAGCCCCGGCUAACUCCGUG